RNAcentral lists this ribosomal RNA (465 nucleotides) under Vreelandella stevensii. RNAcentral's name for it is "partial 16S ribosomal RNA". It matches the Rfam family "Bacterial small subunit ribosomal RNA", at positions 338 to 795 of the family's 1533-position model. Lineage: Bacteria; Pseudomonadati; Pseudomonadota; Gammaproteobacteria; Oceanospirillales; Halomonadaceae. The record is from RNAcentral.
CCUACGGGGGGCUGCAGUGGGGAAUAUUGGACAAUGGGGGCAACCCUGAUCCAGCCAUGCCGCGUGUGUGAAGAAGGCCCUCGGGUUGUAAAGCACUUUCAGUGAGGAAGAACGCCUGGUGGUUAAUACCCAUCAGGAAAGACAUCACUCACAGAAGAAGCACCGGCUAACUCCGUGCCAGCAGCCGCGGUAAUACGGAGGGUGCGAGCGUUAAUCGGAAUUACUGGGCGUAAAGCGCGCGUAGGUGGCUUGAUAAGCCGGUUGGGAAAGCCCCGGGCUCAACCUGGGAACGGCAUCCGGAACUGUCAAGCUAGAGUGCAGGAGAGGAAGGUAGAAUUCCCGGUGUAGCGGUGAAAUGCGUAGAGAUCGGGAGGAAUACCAGUGGCGAAGGCGGCCUUCUGGACUGACACUGACACUGAGGUGCGAAAGCGUGGGUAGCAAACAGGAUUAGAUACCCCUGUAGUC